Molecule: ribosomal RNA, 600 nt
Filed under: Lichtheimia sp. SYL-2010
Lineage: Eukaryota; Fungi; Mucoromycota; Mucoromycetes; Mucorales; Lichtheimiaceae
Description: eukaryotic LSU rRNA
Rfam family: 5.8S ribosomal RNA (bases 313-466)
Source: RNAcentral
CUAGUUGGGGGUCUCUUCCCCUCUAGUAGUUCCUCACAGUUUUGUGCAAAGUCGGGUCAACUUGGUUGGCUCUGCCUUGUGCUGUAGAUCUGGUUGUUGGCAUAGAGACCCUCCUUUUAGGAGACUUGUGCCACUACUAAGAUCUAGGCUGCUUGAAAAGAGACGUAUGGACCCUUCUUUCAGGAGACCUAUGUCUCGAGUCAAAGCAAGCAAGGCAAGCCUUUGGGGCUCUAGUACUAACUAUCCCCAAAGGUGUUUAUUCUUCUCGUGUAAACCAUGAUGUACGAAAAAGUUAGUUGUUAACUUAAAAACAACUCUUGGCAAUGGAUCUCUUGGUUCUCGCAUCGAUGAAGAGCGUAGCAAAGUGCGAUAAUUAUUGCGACUUGCAUUCAUAGCGAAUCAUCGAGUUCUCGAACGCAUCUUGCGCCUAGUAGUCAAUCUACUAGGCACAGUUGUUUCAGUAUCUGCAACUACCAAUCAGUUCAACUUGGUUCUUUGAACCUAAGCGAGCUGGAAAUGGGCUUGUGUUGAUGGCAUUCAGUUGCUGUCAUGGCCUUAAAUACAUUUAGUCCUAGGCAAUUGGCUUUAGUCAUUUGCCGG